This 482-nucleotide ribosomal RNA is filed under the name uncultured bacterium. Its description in RNAcentral is "partial 16S ribosomal RNA". It matches the Rfam family "Bacterial small subunit ribosomal RNA", at positions 30 to 507 of the family's 1533-position model. The record is from RNAcentral.
AUUGAACGCUGGCGGCAUGCUUUACACAUGCAAGUCGAACGGUAACAGCACUUCGGUGGCUGACGAGUGGCGAACGGGUGAGUAAUAUAUCGGAACGUUCCUAGCAGUGGGGGGAAACUACUCGUAAGAGUAGCUAUUAUCGCAUGAGAGCUAAGGAUGAUAGUAGGGGCCCUUUGGGCUUUGCGCGACUAGUGCGGCUCAUGGCAGAUUAGGUAGUUGGUGGGCUAAAAGCUUACCGAGGCGACGAUCGGUAGCUGGUAGGAGAGGACGACCAGCCAGACUGGGACUGGGACACGGCCCAGGCUCCUACGGGAGGCAGCAGUGGGGAAUUUGGGGCAAUGGGCGCAAGCCUGAUCCAGCAAUGCCGCGUGCAGGAUGAAGGCCUUCGGGUUGUAAAAUGCUGUUGUACGGAAUGAAAAGCCCUCUCAUAAUACAGGAGAGUCAUGACGGUACCGAAAGAAUAAGCACCGGCUAACUACGUG